Molecule: ribosomal RNA, 112 nt
Filed under: Diaphorina citri (Asian citrus psyllid)
Lineage: Eukaryota; Metazoa; Arthropoda; Insecta; Hemiptera; Psyllidae
Source: RNAcentral
GCCAGCGGCGAUAGCACGUUGUACGCACCACUUGGAUCACUGAAGUUAAGCAACGUUGUUUGUAAUUGGUAUCCGGAUUGGUAAUUAGCUGAGCAAUAGCAUAUUGCUGGCU